This 497-nucleotide ribosomal RNA is filed under the name uncultured bacterium. RNAcentral describes it as "partial 16S ribosomal RNA". It matches the Rfam family "Bacterial small subunit ribosomal RNA", at positions 28 to 507 of the family's 1533-position model. The record is from RNAcentral.
GAUGAACGCUGGCGGCGUGCCUAAUACAUGCAAGUCGAGCGAACAGACGAGGAGCUUGCUCCUCUGACGUUAGCGGCGGACGGGUGAGUAACACGUGGAUAACCUACCUAUAAGACUGGGAUAACUUCGGGAAACCGGAGCUAAUACCGGAUAAUAUAUUGAACCGCAUGGUUCAAUAGUGAAAGACGGUUUUGCUGUCACUUAUAGAUGGAUCCGCGCCGCAUUAGCUAGUUGGUAAGGUAACGGCUUACCAAGGCAACGAUGCGUAGCCGACCUGAGAGGGUGAUCGGCCACACUGGAACUGAGACACGGUCCAGACUCCUACGGGAGGCAGCAGUAGGGAAUCUUCCGCAAUGGGCGAAAGCCGGACGGAGCAACGCCGCGUGAGUGAUGAAGGUCUUCGGAUCGUAAAACUCUGUUAUUAGGGAAGAACAAAUGUGUAAGUAACUAUGCACGUCUUGACGGUACCUAAUCAGAAAGCCACGGCUAACUACGUG